Molecule: ribosomal RNA, 659 nt
Filed under: uncultured bacterium
Lineage: Bacteria
Description: bacterial SSU rRNA
Rfam family: Bacterial small subunit ribosomal RNA
Source: RNAcentral
UCAGAUUGAACGCUGGCGGCAGGCCUAACACAUGCAAGUCGAGCGGUAACAUUUCUAGCUUGCUAGAAGAUGACGAGCGGCGGACGGGUGAGUAAUACUUGGGGAUCUGCCUGAUGGCGGGGGACAACCACUGGAAACGGUGGCUAAUACCGCAUAAUGCCUACGGGCCAAAGUGUGGGACCUUCGGGCCACAUGCCAUCAGAUGAACCCAAGCGAGAUUAGCUAGUUGGUGAGGUAACGGCUCACCAAGGCGACGAUCUCUAGCUGGUCUGAGAGGAUGAUCAGCCACACUGGGACUGAGACACGGCCCAGACUCCUACGGGAGGCAGCAGUGGGGAAUAUUGGACAAUGGGCGCAAGCCUGAUCCAGCCAUGCCGCGUGUGUGAAGAAGGCCUUCGGGUUGUAAAGCACUUUCAGUGGUGAGGAAGGCGUUGUAGUUAAUAGCUGCAACGAUUGACGUUAGCCACAGAAGAAGCACCGGCUAACUCCGUGCCAGCAGCCGCGGUAAUACGGAGGGUGCGAGCGUUAAUCGGAAUUACUGGGCGUAAAGCGCACGUAGGCGGUUUGUUAAGCAAGAUGUGAAAGCCCAGGGCUCAACCUUGGAAUUGCAUUUUGAACUGGCAAGCUAGAGUUUUGAAGAGGGUGGUAGAAUUUCCAGU